UAACAGAGAUAACAGGUCUCUUAUAAGCCCUAGUGCCCACAACUUUAUUGAGAGGAGUGAGAUAAGAAACCCAUUGUAAGAGUCAACGGGUCGCGUACCUUCUUUUUCACUUCGCAUUAUAUACGGGUGUAGGGCCAUCCUUUUGGCUCAGUCUCUCUCCUCUGUAUCUCUUUCUUUCUCAGCGAGUCACUGACAUUCCCUUAUGAAUUUUUUUCCUCAAAAACUAUUUCCUCAUUCACCUCCAAGUUUUUCCCUCUUAUCAAUGGCUUCAUCUCCUUCUUUUUCCACCUUCAUCAACGAGUUCUUCGAACAUAUGCAUCCUCCUUGUAUUUUGAGAAGUCUCCGCCUUCAAGAUCCCUCGUUGCUUAGCCUCUGACGACAGUUGCGAAGUGCUUCAAUGCAAUAAAUCUAGAUUUAAGCAUUCAAGGUACAUUCUCAAAAAAAUUAGCCUUUUUUUCUCCAUGUUUUCAUAUUUCAAGUUUUUUAGUUUCUAUUUGAAACCCUAUUCUUAAUUUCAUCCUCUAACCUUCCUUUCAAUUGCCAAAUAAUUUUCUUUAUUAAUCCCAUUUUUAUUUACUUUAGUACCCUUAAGUUCGAAUUUCACAUCUGGGCAAUGUUGCAAUUGGCUAAAUUGACAAUAUUUAGUGGGAAUUUCGGAAUACCCAAUUUUAACAUAGAGUUGCAAUUGAUUUGAAAUUCCUAACCCCAGAAAUUCAGAGAGACCAAGAGUACCAGCUCUCGUCGAAAUUGCAAAAUAUGGAGUUUUUUUUUUUUUUUUUUUUUUUUUUUUUUUUUUUUU
This is a long non-coding RNA of Chenopodium quinoa (quinoa), 799 nucleotides long. RefSeq lists it as uncharacterized. The record is from RefSeq and is a predicted model, not a curated record. The transcript is spliced from 2 exons. NCBI's taxonomy places the organism in Eukaryota, Viridiplantae, Streptophyta, Magnoliopsida, Caryophyllales, Amaranthaceae.